GCCGGGCGUGGUAGCUCACGCCUGUAAUCCCAGCACUUCGGGAGGCUGAGGCAGGCGGAUCACCUGAGGUCAGGAGUUCGAGACCAGCCUGACCAACAUGGUGAAACUCUGUCUCUA
Molecule: unclassified non-coding RNA, 117 nt
Organism: Pongo abelii (Sumatran orangutan)
Lineage: Eukaryota; Metazoa; Chordata; Mammalia; Primates; Hominidae
Rfam family: Metazoan signal recognition particle RNA
About the family: The signal recognition particle (SRP) is a universally conserved ribonucleoprotein.
Source: Ensembl